Dalotia coriaria is the source of this 4582-nucleotide long non-coding RNA. RefSeq lists it as uncharacterized. Lineage: Eukaryota; Metazoa; Arthropoda; Insecta; Coleoptera; Staphylinidae. The transcript is spliced from 4 exons. The record is from RefSeq and is a predicted model, not a curated record.
CCGUCGAGUAUUUGUGUUUCUCGUUGUAAAAUCGGUAUAUUGCGUUAUAUUUUAUUGAAUUGCCGUGUUUGGUCAUUCGGUAAAUAUUAAUCGCGUAUGUAAUCUUCGGAAUUCAAUAUUUUGUGUGUUUAUUACAUUUUCGCGUGGAUUUCUGAUCGGUUGUCGUCGGACGCCGGCCGGCAGACUUUGUGUGUGAUAAUAAAUCAUAUCUUGGACUUGCGCGAACCAUUUUUGACUUCUGCACAACUCGUUGGCUCAAUGUGUUACCUGUAUCUUCUCACAAUUGAUUUGCGGUGUUCGAUACACUGUACUUGCCGUACCCUUGCAAUCCGAUGAGCGCUGCAUUGGUAAGUUUAUAAUUGAGUUAUAUGCCAAAUGCAAUUCGCACAUAAGGUCGCGUUCCAUCAACGCGCCGCCAAGUUUGCGCAUCUAUUGCAAUUCACGCACAAGGUCGCGUGUGAUCGACGCGCCGGCUUUGCACACCUCUUGCUUUCUUAUCAUAAACUGCCUCGUCGUUGCUUAUGCAGCUUGCGGCCAGUUUUAUGCCGGUCGCUGGUUGAGCCAGACGUAUUUUGCGCGACUCGUAUCGUUUAUCCGGACUUCUACUUUCCAAUUCGUAUUAUAUUCGAUCAUCAAUUGACUAUUUAAUUUUAACUUGACUUUAGUAACUUUAGUACUGUUAUUUAUUAUUUGCGCGUAAGUGUAUCGCGGCUAUCUUGUUUACCUGUUGUGAAGUGCCGUCGGCCAUCUUCCAAUUGUAAUUGAAGAAAUACCAGUGAGGGCCAGUGACGUUCCAUGAGUUACAAUACACAGGGUGAGAGUUCAUGUGUGAGAUUAUAAUUAAAUUCUUCAUUUCAUGGGCAUAGUUCAGUUUCGCGUCAUUGUAUUUGUCAUUCCGGUUUGAAUUUAUAUAAAUUUAAUGCAUUGCCCGCCUGGAAAAUGCUUAUUUUUACAGAUGUUUAAUGUUUACACUGGAAUGCCCCUGAUAUGCGAAUUUAUUGACAUUUCUUUUCGGUUUGCUCCUCCGACUGAUCUGAGAUGCUAGGCCGGUUGGUGCAUGAAAAUAAAACAGAUAAAAAUAUAUUUAUUCCGUACCCUACAACUUGCCCACGAGAAUUGUUUGACUUCUACUUAUUUAUCGGUGUUAGUAUUUCUAUUCUUUAGAUUAAAUAUUUCAUUGAAUUAAUUUGAUUUGUUCUUACCGCAGUUUUACUUGAUCGGGAAUUUCCCUUCAGUACAGUUCAACCAUUUUCCAAAUUUCGAGUUUUGUAAUGUCGAUUCAUGCGAACAAUUCUUGUUUUAAUGCAAAUCCAUUCUCUGAUAUGUUUGCUACUUGACAUCAAUACUUGUUCUACGAUUCUCAAUCUCAUGAUUUGCACUCCUGGUAAGUCUCAUCAUAUUUUUGUAUACUUAGUAUAUGUACAGUAUGUAUGUAUGUUUGAUACUUCUGAUUGUCAGUAUUUGGUAUAAUUUUGUAUAUUUCCGUUAUUCUAUGCGAACUCUGCGACCUAGUAACUUCAGCGGGGCGUCAAAAAAGCAGCAUUAAAAUCUCCGCCGGGUGGUAUUUGUUAGCGGUAGAAGUGACUCGAUUCAGGGCACCCUACGAGGCUCGCGGUAAAAGUGACUCGUGUUCAGGGCACCGUAGGAACCCGCAAAAAUUUGAAUGAAAGGCUGAUUUUUGUCACUCGUUCCGCUAGGAAUUGUAGUUUUUUUGUUAUAAUGCGCGAACGCGGUGUUGCAAUAGGUUCGGAUUAAUUUUUCCAGAUGCAGAAUUUAAUUCUGCAUCUUCCAGUAUGAAAAUGUUUUGCCAGAAAAUUCCGUAACGCGAGUUAGAAUGAAAGUUGUGUUUUCGCCGUAGUACUUGUUGCGCUAGGAAUUGUAGUUUUUUUGUUAUAACACGCGAACACGGUGUCACAAUUAGUUCGGAUUAAUUUUCCCAAAUGCAGAAUUUAAUUUUGCAUCUUCCAGUAUUAAAAUGUUUUGCCAGAAAAUUCCGUAACGCGAGUUAGAAUGAAAGUUGUGUUUUCGCCGUAGUACUCGUUGCGCUAGGAAUUGUAGUUUUUUUGUUAUAACACGCGAACGCGGUGUCGUAAUUAGUUCGAAUUAAUUUUCCCAAAUGCACUUUUAAUUUUGCAUCUCCCAGUAUAAAAAUGUUUUGCCAGAAAAUUCCGCAACGCGAGUUAUAAUGAAAGUUGUGUUUGCGCCGUAGUACUCGUUGCGCUAGGAAUUGUAGUUUUUUUUAUUAUAACACGCGAACGCGGUGUCACAAUUAGUUUGGAUUGAUUUUCUUAAAUGCAGAAUUUAAUUUUGCAUCGUCCAGUAUAAAAAUGUUUGGUCAUAAAAUUCCGUAACGCGAAUUACAAUGAAAGUUGUGUUUGCGCCGUAGUACUCGUUGCGCUAGGAAUUGUAGUUUUUUUAUUCUAACACGCGAACGCGGUGUCACAAUUAGUUUGGAUUAAUUUUCUUAAAUGCAGAAUUUAAUUUUGCAUCUCCCAGUAUAAAAAUGUUUUGCCAGAAAAUUCCGUAACGCGAGUUAUAUUGAAAGUUGUGUGUGUGUGCACUAGUACUCGUUGCGCUAGGAAUUGUAGUUUUUUUGUUAUAACACGUGAACGCGGUGUCAAAAUAAGUUCGAAAUUAUUUUCCAUAAUGCGGAAUUGAAUUCUGUAUGUCCCUCUAUUGAAAUUUAUUGCAAGAAAAUUCCGUAACGCGAGUUAUAUUGAAAGUUGUGUGUGUGUGUACUAGUACUCGUUGCGCUAGGAAUUGUAGUUUUUUGAUAUAACUCGCGAACGCGGUGUCACAAUAAGUUCGGAAUAAUUUUCCUAUAUGCAGAAUUUAAUUCUGUAUCUUUCUGUAUUGAAAUUUAUUUUAAGAAAAUUUUGUAACGCGAGUUAUACAACUUUUAAUUAUUUUUAUAUCUUAUCUGAUAGAGAAUUUUUCAAAUCUAUCUCUUUUAGUUUGGAAUAUAUUCGCUAUCGAAAAUAGUUGUUAUCUUGCCCAUUUUUUUUCUUAUGAAUUAAAAUUUCCGUUCUUAGAUUUCCAAUUUAACUAGCUUAUUUUAUAGGGAAUUAUCUGUAGAUUAAGACUCUGCCAAUAUCUUCUAAACAGGUUUUAAAUAUAGACAGUAUUUAAUUCUGGAUUAUAGAAUACAUUAUUUAUACGAAUAAAAGAGUAGUAUGUUCAUAAUAUAAUUGUUUUUUAUUGCAUUAGACUGUAUCAACAACAUGAAUUGUUCAUAGUUCUCACUCUUGACUAUUAUCGGUGUUUGUGUACAAACAACUUGCUUUUUUAUCGAGUUGCAGCGCGUCCGUCGCGCUCAGCCUUGCUUGUGCUAUUUCCUCCUUAGUCGAUAGUGCGCUGCGGCGUGGUGUGCACGCGUUUACUUGCGCGGAGGUUUUCGGGUUAUCGCGUUUCUUGUGAAUUUAAAUUGGUAGUUGAAUUAUAAUUGGUCAGCAAUGAUAGGAUUUAGAAUUAACAGGCGAGUGCGGCGGGCAGUUAAUGUUUUAUCGCGCGUGGAAUCCAGAAUUGCGUGGUUUUACAAUGUACGCACGUGUUUGCUGUCGGCCGUCGGAUAUCUUCCGUCGGCUAAGAAUUCCUAGUGGAUUUGUUUUGUGUAUUUAUUUAAUUGUUAAUUUGAAGAAACAUCAUUUACAUUAUGGGUGUCUCUUGUGGAUUAUUUUACCUGCGAAGGCGUAAGAAUAUGUGUAACGUAAAUACUACAUUCUAUUAACAUUUGACGAAUGAAACAGCAAAUGUAAAUUCAUCACCAGAUAAGGAAAAGCAAUCAGUCAAAUAACUAAACACUCUGAAAAUAAGUAGAAAUAGUUGUCACAUUGUCGCAUAUAAUCCGCGUUGUAUUACAAGUAUUGGAAUAUUGUCGCGUUCCGUCAGCUGGGAUUCACUCCCGUUAGAUUCCGUUUUUUGUGCCUGAUUGGUGCUUUUGUAUUUAUUAUUAUAUAUAUUAUUUAUUAUUCUGCCUCUAAUUGGCUUUACGUGUUUGUUAAUUUGUGUGUUCAAGAAAUAUUAGGCUAGUAUUGCUUUAAAAGAUGACAAAUAAUAUUAUAAUUAUUAAUAAAUGUAUUAUUUAUCAUGUUUCUCUCCCCGCACAUAUCACUUCUAGAUAUCCAGGAGGAGACAGUUAUUAACUCUUGUAUUUUUGAUUUUUUUUGUAUCACCCUGUAUAAAAAUUUUCUUUAAUGUCCAGUGAAAAUUUUGCAAUCUUUAUUGUUUUCGGGGGUAUUUCUUUUUGAAUUGAAUUUUUUUUAUGAUAACACCUUGUAUGUAUUCCUUUAUGCUCAGUGAAAAAUGAGAAAUCUCUAUUGUUUUGGGGUGAUUUUCUUUUUUAAUUGAAGAUUUUCUUUCGAAAACACCCUGUAUUUAAUUUUCCACUGAUGUCACGCGAAAACAAUGCGCAAUUUGCUAUUUUCCAGUGUUAUCUUUUGAAAUUUCGCAGCCGUUAGCAUAGCGCGGCUAUGCAGGUCAUAAACAUGUUUUAAAAUGACGUCAUAUGUCUUGUAACUAUUGAACAUACAAGUUAUGAACUUAUAUUGUAUUUAGUUUGUUAAUAAAGAAAUGUUAAAGGCAA